UACGUAGGGGGCAAGCGUUAUCCGGAUUUAUUGGGCGUAAAGAGCUCGUAGGCGGCCGUUCGCGUCGGAUGUGAAAGCUCAGGGCUCAACUCUGAGAUGCCAUUCGAUACGGGACGGCUAGAGGUAGGUAGGGGAGAGUGGAAUUCCUGGUGUAGCGGUGAAAUGCGCAGAUAUCAGGAGGAACACCGGUGGCGAAGGCGGCUUCCUGGCCUGUUCUUGACGCUGAGGCGCGAAAGCUAGGGGAGCAAACGGG
RNAcentral lists this ribosomal RNA (253 nucleotides) under uncultured bacterium. RNAcentral's name for it is "partial 16S ribosomal RNA". It matches the Rfam family "Bacterial small subunit ribosomal RNA", at positions 524 to 776 of the family's 1533-position model. The record is from RNAcentral.